This 84-nucleotide transfer RNA is filed under the name Fasciola hepatica (liver fluke). It matches the Rfam family "tRNA". From Rfam's summary of the family: Transfer RNA (tRNA) molecules are approximately 80 nucleotides in length. Their secondary structure includes four short double-helical elements and three loops (D, anti-codon, and T loops). Lineage: Eukaryota; Metazoa; Platyhelminthes; Trematoda; Plagiorchiida; Fasciolidae. The record is from Rfam by way of RNAcentral.
UGCCUCGUAGCUCAGCUGGUAGAGCCCUCGCGGUACGAACGCGAGGGUGGUGACCUUGCGUUGGUUCGAAUCCUGCCGGGGCCA